UCCUACGGGAGGCAGCAGUGGGGAAUUUUCCGCAAUGGGCGAAAGCCUGACGGAGCAACGCCGCGUGAGGGAUGAAGGCCUCUGGGCUGUAAACCUCUUUUCUCAAGGAAGAAGAUCUGACGGUACUUGAGGAAUAAGCCACGGCUAAUUCCGUGCCAGCAGCCGCGGUAAUACGGAGGAUCCAAGCGUUAUCCGGAUUCAUUGGGUUUAAAGGGUCCGUAGGCGGAUCUUUAAGUCAGUGGUGAAAGCCGACAGCUUAACUGUCGAACUGCCAUUGAUACUGGAGAUCUUGAGUACAAAUGAAGUAGGCGGAAUGAGUCAUGUAGCGGUGAAAUGCAUAGAUAUGACUCAGAACACCGAUUGCGAAGGCAGCUUACUAACAUGUAACUGACGCUGAGGGACGAAAGCGUGGGGAGCGAACAGGAUUAGAUACCCUGGUAGUCCACGCCGUAAACGAUCAUCACUCGCUGUUGGCGAUAUACUGUCAGCGGCCAAGCGAAAGUAUUAAGUGAUGCACCUGGGGAGUACGCCGGCAACGGUGAAACUCAAAUGAAUUGACGGA
This 562-nucleotide ribosomal RNA is filed under the name uncultured bacterium. RNAcentral describes it as "bacterial SSU rRNA". It matches the Rfam family "Bacterial small subunit ribosomal RNA", at positions 337 to 917 of the family's 1533-position model. The record is from RNAcentral.